CCUACGGGUGGCAGCAGUGGGGAAUAUUGGGCAAUGGGCGCAAGCCUGACCCAGCAACGCCGCGUGAAGGAAGAAGGCUUUCGGGUCGUAAACUUCUUUUCUCAGGGACGAAGCAAGUGCCGGUACCUGAGGAAUAAGCCACGGCUAACUACGUGCCAGCAGCCGCGGUAAUACGUAGGUGGCAAGCGUUAUCCGGAUUUACUGGGUGUAAAGGGCGUGUAGGCGGGACUGCAAGUCAGAUGUGAAAACCACGGGCUCAACCUGUGGCCUGCAUUGGAAACUGGAGUUCUUGAGUGCUGGAGGGGCAGACGGAAUUCCUGGUGUAGCGGUGAAAUGCGUAGAUAUUAGGAGGAACACCAGUGGCGAAGGCAGUCUGCUAGACAGCAACUGACACUGAGGCGCGAAAGCGUGGGGAGCAAACAGGAUUAGAUACCCGUGUAGUC
RNAcentral lists this ribosomal RNA (443 nucleotides) under uncultured bacterium. RNAcentral's name for it is "partial 16S ribosomal RNA". It matches the Rfam family "Bacterial small subunit ribosomal RNA", at positions 338 to 795 of the family's 1533-position model. The record is from RNAcentral.